UUUUACCUGAUUAAGUUUUGUAUAAAACAUAAACACCAACAAUCGAUUAUUAUCUGUGAUGAUCUCUAUAAGUGAAUUGUCAAUACAUUAAAAAUGGAAAACAAAGUGUUUAAACCAUUGGAAAAACCAGAUUCCCUUAAGGGCAAGAAAGGCGAAAGUAGAUAAUAUGUAUAUUGACAGGCGGAGCACCAAUACAAGAAAUUCAUUCCUCCGAGUUGGAAGAGCGGUCGAUGAAAACCUUAGGGAGACCGUGGUUGAUAGAUUGCCUGAUGUCCCAACUAUUGGAGUAGAGAACGACAUUAUAAUAAAUAUAGAUCCACAAAGUCCUUCAGUAAGCGAGAUGCCAUCAAUUUCACGUACUCGAAUGCAGACUUCACAAGAAAUGUUUGCUGGCAUGAUGGCUACGAUGAAGAGGAGAAGCGACGAAGAGGCAAAAUUUAGGGAGACAUCACAUUAAUGCUUCAAAAAUGUUGCGGAGUCUUUAAACAAUAUGGCAAGAGCUAUUUUAAAGCAGUCGGAAGCUGUUUAAAAAAAAUUAAAUAAAUAUAUGUGUAAGAAGAUA
This is a long non-coding RNA of Bactrocera tryoni, 562 nucleotides long. RefSeq lists it as uncharacterized. The record is from RefSeq and is a predicted model, not a curated record. The transcript is spliced from 3 exons. Lineage: Eukaryota; Metazoa; Arthropoda; Insecta; Diptera; Tephritidae.